Molecule: transfer RNA, 69 nt
Filed under: Mongoloraphidia harmandi
Lineage: Eukaryota; Metazoa; Arthropoda; Insecta; Raphidioptera; Raphidiidae
Description: tRNA-Met
Rfam family: tRNA
About the family: Transfer RNA (tRNA) molecules are approximately 80 nucleotides in length. Their secondary structure includes four short double-helical elements and three loops (D, anti-codon, and T loops).
Source: RNAcentral
UAAAAGAUAAGCUAAAUAAGCUAAUAGGUUCAUACCCUACAUAUAUUGGUAAUAAUCCAUUUCUUUUUA